UAGGGAAUUUUCCACAAUGGGGGCAACCCUGAUGGAGCAACGCCGCGUGCAGGAUGAAGGCUUUCGGGUCGUAAACUGCUUUUGUUUGUGACGAUUAUGACGGUAACAAGCGAAUAAGGGUCUGCUAACUACGUGCCAGCAGCCGCGGUCAUACGUAGGACCCAAGCGUUAUCCGGAUUUACUGGGCGUAAAGAGUUGCGUAGGUGGCAAUGUAAGUAAAUAGUGAAAUCCUGGGGCUCAACCCCUUCAACAUUAUUUAAACUGCAUAGCUAGAGUAUGGGAGAGGUAGAUGGAAUUUCUAGUGUAGGAGUGAAAUCCGUAGAUAUUAGAAGGAACACCGAUGGCGUAGGCAGUCUACUGGCCCAUUACUGACACUAAGGCACGAAAGCGUGGGGAGCGAACGGGAUUAGAUACCCCUGUAGUCC
Molecule: ribosomal RNA, 425 nt
Filed under: uncultured bacterium
Lineage: Bacteria
Description: bacterial SSU rRNA
Rfam family: Bacterial small subunit ribosomal RNA
Source: RNAcentral